This 244-nucleotide long non-coding RNA is filed under the name Capsicum annuum. Its description in RNAcentral is "long non-coding RNA (CANN_LNC001511)". The record is from RNAcentral. Lineage: Eukaryota; Viridiplantae; Streptophyta; Magnoliopsida; Solanales; Solanaceae.
CCAUAUUUUCCAAUUUUCCAACUUUCCAAUCAAUAGGUCGAAAUUAGCUCAGGUGUACCGGGUCCCAAACCAAAGGUCUACCUAACCUAAAAUCGAUAUUCCGAAGCUGCUGGCAUAGUUCGUUCGGCCAUCCGUCGCACGGAUCAAAAGAUAUCCACUUAAGUCUAAAAUAAGGCACUAGAAGCCAUCAAAAACCACAAUAUUACAUAAAUGAUACCAAAAUGCAUAAAAAAUCAUGUCAAUC